This 536-nucleotide long non-coding RNA is filed under the name Priapulus caudatus. RNAcentral describes it as "uncharacterized LOC106820256, transcript variant X19". The record is from RNAcentral. Lineage: Eukaryota; Metazoa; Priapulida; Priapulimorpha; Priapulimorphida; Priapulidae.
AGAGAGUGUCAGGUAAACUAUAGAGAGUGUCAGGUAAACUUAUAGAGAGUGUCAGCGGAACUAUAGAGAGUGUCAGGUAAACUCUAGAGAGUGCCAGUAAAACUAAUAGAGAGUGUCAGGUAAUACUAUAGAGAGUGUCAGGUAAACUGAUAGAGAGUGCUAGGUUAAAGCCUAUAGAGAGUGUCAGGUAAACUAUAGAGAGUGAACUAUAGAGAGUGUCUAGGGUAACUAUGGAGAGUGUCAGGUAAACUAAGAGAGUGUCAUGGUAAACUAUAGAGAGUGUCAGGUAAACUAUAGAGAGUAAACUAUAGAGAGUGUCAGGUAAACUUAUAGAGAGUGUCAGGUAAACUUAUAGAGAGUGUCAGGUAUAACUAUAGAGAGUGUCGGGCAGGUAAACUAUAGAGAGUGUCAGGUAAACUAUAGAGAGUGUCAGGUAAACUAUAGAGAUUGUCAGGUAAACUAUAGAGAGUGUCAGGUAAACUAUAGAGAGUGCCAGGUAACUUAUAGAGAGUAACUAUAGAGAGUGUCAGGUAAAC